CUGUAAAGGUAUAUUUUGCUGUAGGGCAAUAUCCUCUUUUUAUCAAAGGGGAGUAUACUGAAGAG
This 65-nucleotide non-coding RNA is filed under the name unclassified sequences. RNAcentral's name for it is "S4-Fusobacteriales ribosomal protein leader". It matches the Rfam family "S4-Fusobacteriales ribosomal protein leader". The record is from RNAcentral.